RNAcentral lists this long non-coding RNA (898 nucleotides) under Equus caballus (horse). RNAcentral's name for it is "lncRNA (ENSECAG00000043842.1)". Lineage: Eukaryota; Metazoa; Chordata; Mammalia; Perissodactyla; Equidae. The record is from RNAcentral.
CAAUCACUACAGCAAAUGGCUUCCGACACGAACAAGCCUGGAUUUGCCUAAACAUCUGGGCCUCUUUGUAGACUUAGGUCAAUGACCCUGCUCGCCAGGGCCAGUAGGGGCAGCUUCUGCAGCUGCCGAUGUGUGCUCAGAACCAGUGUCCUGGGGCCGGCCCAUGGCCGAGUGGUUAAGUUCACACGUUCUGCUUCGGCGGCCCAGGGUUUCACUGGUUCGGAUCCUGGGCGCGGACAUGGCGCCACUCAUCAAGCCAUGCUGAGGCAGCAUCCCCCAUGCCACAACUAGAAGGACCUGCAACUAAGAUACACAAGAACCUUGCGCUCUAGCUAUACGGAUUAAAUAAGGAUGAACCACUCUUAAACGUGUUCCGAGCACUCCUGAUUCAGUGUCUUCUUUCACCUUGACAUUGUCAGCUCCUGGAGGACAGAGAUGAUGCCUCGUAAGUGUUUAUAUUCCCAGUGGUUCACACUUAGUACUUUUUUUGAUGUACCUAUCUGCUUGAAUUUUCAGAACAGUUGCUCAGUUAUAAAGAGUGUUGAAAAUUCUAAAGCUUGGACCUUUUCCCUUUUCCAUGAUAUCAAAAAAUUCUGUUUCCUAUCUUUAUUUAGUAGACAGUAGCAGCAUUCUCAAAAUUUUCCUGUGGUCCAGUCCCAGCUCUCUCAUUCCUCCUCUUUUCCUCUCCGUUACCUCUCUAUUACUGAAUUAACAAGUGCUGAGCUAGGAAGUGUAAACCAUUUGGAAAACAAAUGUUUGGUACUUAGGAGCAAAAGAAGAUACUUAAAGUGUGAUUUAUCACAUGUGAAUUUCAUCCCGAACAACAAACGGAGAUGGGGGUAUGUCGUACAGUGGUGCGGACCACACCCUGCCGGCUUCAGUCAAAAUCCCGGACAGC